RNAcentral lists this long non-coding RNA (480 nucleotides) under Elaeis guineensis (African oil palm). Its description in RNAcentral is "long non-coding RNA (EGUI_LNC026935)". Lineage: Eukaryota; Viridiplantae; Streptophyta; Magnoliopsida; Arecales; Arecaceae. The record is from RNAcentral.
GGGGUGGAAUCUGGCAGGCAUUUAGGAACAUCAAAGGGGUAAAAUAGGGACACGAGGUUUGCCAAUUGGAGGGGAAUCUAGAUCGGGUAGCUCCGCGUUCACACGGGCAUAGCGUCCUCGGGACGCUUCUUGCCGUGUGAUAUGAGGAUUCUAUUUUUUAAAAAAAAAAUGUCAUGAGAAUAUUCUUCAUUCCAAGCGGACGAAGAUGCUAUCUUAAUUUGAACUCUUUACGAGAAUAUCCUUUUUGUUUGGUGAUAAGGUGGGUUAGAAUUAAUCUGACAUCCUGGAAUAAAAGAUCUGCAGUUCUAAAAAUUAAUUUGAGGAAAUCCGAUUUUUUUUCCCUUUCUUUCUUUCUUUUAAGAUACCCAGUGAUAUUGUAGAAGAUAUUGUGGAAGAGCAUCGAUGUUCCAUAGUGCCCCUCGAGGUUAUAAGUUAGUUUUUCACUAGAAAAUAGGAAAGGUAAUUGAACAGUUACAUAGA